RNAcentral lists this long non-coding RNA (257 nucleotides) under Homo sapiens (human). RNAcentral describes it as "lncAB359.1". The record is from RNAcentral. Lineage: Eukaryota; Metazoa; Chordata; Mammalia; Primates; Hominidae.
CUCCUUGGUGCCCGAGGCCUCCCGGGGCUUCCGUGCCUUCUUUGCCCCAUCUUUUUGCUUCGGCUCCUUGUGCUCCUUGGCCUUCUUCGGCUCCUUGGCCUUUCUGGGUUCCUUUGGCUCUUUCGGUUCUCGUUUCCUCUUUGGCUUGGGCUCUCUGUCCUUGCUUCCCUUUGCUGCACCCUCUUGGUCUCCUGGCUCCUUUUUCUUCCGUUUCUUCUUCACUCCAGUACCUCCUCCUCCACUGUCCUCCAUCCCAU